AAGUCGUAACAAGGUUUCCGUAGGUGAACCUGCGGAAGGAUCAUUAAUGAAUUUUGAACUGGGUUGUUGCUGGCUCUUAGGGGCACUGUGCACACCCUUCAAUCUCAUCUAUCCCUGUGCACCAACUGUAGACUUUGUUUAUCAGAGUCUAUGUUUUUCACACACACUAUUGAUAUUGAAUGUGUAUCAGAUCUCAGUGAUCUAUAAUAAUACAACUUUUAGCAAUGGAUCUCUUGGCUCUC
This 242-nucleotide unclassified non-coding RNA is filed under the name air metagenome. Its description in RNAcentral is "partial contains small subunit ribosomal RNA, internal transcribed spacer 1, and 5.8S ribosomal RNA". The stretch from base 1 to 46 matches the Rfam family "Eukaryotic small subunit ribosomal RNA", at positions 1786 to 1831 of the family's 1831-position model. The record is from RNAcentral.